UAAAUUAUAGUUUAUAAAAAAUAUUUCUAUUACAAAGAAAAGAAAAUAAAUUUAUUUAAUUUAU
RNAcentral lists this transfer RNA (64 nucleotides) under Megathrips lativentris. RNAcentral's name for it is "tRNA-Val". Lineage: Eukaryota; Metazoa; Arthropoda; Insecta; Thysanoptera; Phlaeothripidae. The record is from RNAcentral.